Molecule: long non-coding RNA, 564 nt
Filed under: Linum usitatissimum (flax)
Lineage: Eukaryota; Viridiplantae; Streptophyta; Magnoliopsida; Malpighiales; Linaceae
Description: long non-coding RNA (LUSI_LNC006458)
Source: RNAcentral
UAAAAAUAUUCUAUCAGGUUUAUGUGAAUAAAAUAGAGAACUGCCAACGGUAUUACUAUAUCCAAACUUUAAAAGGUUAAAAGACUGAAUAAUUAUUUUCAGCAUUAUCGUGUUCACAUAAGAUGACAUGAUAGCUUCAUCGAGGAGCCAUUAUUAGUAUUCAAAGGAUUUCCAUCCAAAAAUAUGUAUAUUCAGCCAUACAAUCGAAAUGCUGGAAAUACAUAUGAAGGGUAAGCAUCGUAGUUCGACGCUAGUGCUUUCACCGAAGGUCAAUCUGCCACAUCAUCCAAUGCUCCAAGGCCAAGUUCGGAGGAAUGAAUCCCGCCAUAGCAAGAACUAACCUUUAUUACUAUAAAGGUGCGAAAAAUUACGCAAUCCAGAAGAAUGUGGUAAAAAUAGAAGAGAGAAUCGGGUAGCUGAAUGAGCAUUAUGAAAAUUAGACAUGGGAAUUUGGUAACAACGAGAGAGUAACCAAUCUUGUAAAACUAUGCAUAAUUCGAGAAUGAUAGCACCAGCAAAGGAAUAUGAUUAUUUUGAAGAUCCAAGACGAAUAACUAUAUUGGC